CACAGGGCCACACACCGCAACUCCAGCUCACCAGUCCCGCCAGUGCGCUGCGGAUGGGACACCAAUGCGACCUUCGUGUAUGGCCUAAAAGGCAUUUCUCAUUAUCUUUCGGUCUCAAUUGCAGCAUGUUGUGGAGCUGACUUUGAAGCUUAAGACAACGGCGUUCUAUGUUUAUACGAUCUACUGGAGCCUAGAAAAGUUGGAAACUGAAGAUCAUAAACUUCCUGUGAGCUCACCAGUAGCCUACGGCCGGAAUUGGAUAAACAGUUUGCAUAGAAAAAUGACAUCAGCAAAACCUUACUGAGAAAUGCCACUUUAUUUUAUGUGGAUGUUUCUGUCUACUUACAUGGAUGCAAUUAUUUUUCCUGGAAGGAUUGUCUUAGGAGAAAAGCAGUUCCAGUAAGUAAAGAUGGUAAAUUCUCUAUCGCCCUCCAUAUUUUGCUAAAUUUUACCUUAUUGUGUCCUUCAACCAUUUCAGGUUCGAUGUCGCUCAUUCACAUCGGCUCUUAAAAUGUUCUGUCUUCCUUUUAAUGGGAAAUGCACUUGAGAUGCCUGUGGCCAGGUGUAGGCUCCUGCAGUACAGUGUGGCUACUUGAGAACGCUAUAUCUUCCGGCGGAAAGGUGAAAGGUUCAUCUCAGCGCAGCAUGUCCAGGACUCCAGCACUUAAUCUAUUGCUUGGCGAAUGAAAACCGCCUGUGGACGACAUGUUGGCUGAGAGGAACAAUGAACAAUACGUGGAUAAUCAAAGCACCACUUUGAAGAACAUGAAUAUUUAGGAAGAUGCCUGUCAGAAUCAACAAAGAUCUUACCUUCCAGUGGAGGAGAUAGAUUCUUUUGCCCGUCUCAUUUUCAUUUCACGAUCUGUCCAACAGUGACAGACUCCAUGUCAUCCUUAUUUGAGACAGUGUCCUUGUUUCCUUGUCCACUUUCUGUCCCUCUCUCUAGAAUCUGCCACAUCUGUAAGUCUGCCUCUCUCUCUCUCUCUGCAUUGACCUCUCUAUCUAUCUCCCACAAUACACACGGAUGUACACACACACAUGCUCUUUCCCUCAUCUUCAAACUUCACUUCAUCUUCCCCCCUCUUUCUCUCUCCCUCUCUCUCUCCCUCUCCCUUCCUCCCUCCCUCUAAUCCUCUGCUCUUGUGAAGAGCAUUGGGCCAUGCAGCUGUGCUCCUCUGGCACUCAGAGAGGCGGCCACUCAACCCCCCACUCACCAGAGGGGUCCAGACCACCUGGCUCCAGGGGCAGCUGACUGGCCUAUUCAGCUGAAUGCACAGGCAGACCAGCGGCUCAUCCCUGGCCUGCCCCGGAGGUGGACGCGUGGAGUGCGAGGGGCCUGUGUGGAAGGUCAGCGGAGCCAGAGGAAAAGCCCACGUUUGUGGGAGCGCGAGGCGAGUGGAUGAGUGACCAUUUACACCCGAGUGGAACAUAGGGAGAGAUUCACGGGGAGUCAGCUGAUGCUACUGGCACUAUAUUUGUAUCGCAGGAAGGGAUGGGAAUUAUUUACUUCCUGCCAUUAUAGAAUAAAGGGAUCGAAGAGGGGAGAAAGAGUGACAGAAGUAAUAUGGCGUAUUUUUAACUAAAGGGGGACGGGAAUACCCAUGUGUUUGGAUUCACUCUGCUGAUUUCUGCUCCAGGUGUCCGUCAGAGAUUGCCUAGUAUGGUUAUUUAAUUAGUAUCUUUGACAAAAUUCCGUUUCUAUUUGGAAUUCUCAGAAUAUACUAUAAUUCAUGCAUCAGCCAUUUGUAUGUUAGUCUUAGGUUAGGUGGCUGUUUUUGAAUGCAUUUCAGAGCCAGUAUUAUUUUGUCACAGAUGUUAUGAGAUGUUUCAACAAGACAUGUCAUUUGAUUACUCUAUUGCCAUUGUUGAGUCUAAAAUGUUAUUUUACUUUUUAUUUUUUAAUUUUU
Clupea harengus (Atlantic herring) is the source of this 1907-nucleotide long non-coding RNA. Lineage: Eukaryota; Metazoa; Chordata; Actinopteri; Clupeiformes; Clupeidae. The record is from Ensembl.